CACGUAGGGCGCGAGCGUUGUCCGGAAUUAUUGGGCGUAAAGAGCUCGUAGGCGGUUUGUCGCGUCUGCUGUGAAAACCGGAGGCUCAACCUCCGGCCUGCAGUGGGUACGGGCAAACUAGAGUGCGGUAGGGGAGAUUGGAAUUCCUGGUGUAGCGGUGGAAUGCGCAGAUAUCAGGAGGAACACCGAUGGCGAAGGCAGAUCUCUGGGCCGUAACUGACGCUGAGGAGCGAAAGCAUGGGUAGCAAACAGG
RNAcentral lists this ribosomal RNA (253 nucleotides) under uncultured bacterium. Its description in RNAcentral is "partial 16S ribosomal RNA". It matches the Rfam family "Bacterial small subunit ribosomal RNA", at positions 524 to 776 of the family's 1533-position model. The record is from RNAcentral.